AGAUGAAGGCUAAGACCUACAGCACUGGAAACUUGAAUUUGUUCAUGUAUAUUCAAGCCAGGUAUAUACAGACGCAUUAUGAGACCUCCUUAAAAUCCAUAACAAUAGCCUUGCUUCUGACCUCCAACGCUAAAAUAUAUUUCUUUCUGGUAUCUAUUUUAAACAAAUAUAUUCAAAUUGUGUCAACCAUUUACAGUUUCCCUUUAUUAUUUUCUUUGAACCAUGUACAUUAAGGAUUAAAAAGUUUGUGAUCUUCCCAUGAUUUGAAUUGCACUCAUUUUAGGAACAGAAUGAGAGUUACAAUAAAUGAAUGCUCAUCAAAAGCCAGUUAACAAAUAUUCAUUUUUUAGAAGAAAAAGCUUCCAUAUGAACUGGUGGCAAAACCAAAACCAAACAAAAUAGGAAAUGUGGAUACAUUUUUACACUCUUGGCACUAAGCCAACUGUACAUCAAACUGGCAUUUUACAACACUGUAAUCUUUAUUUACAAGGGAAGAUGUGACACAGCUAAAAGAUGAAAGGAAAGUUAUUCACUUGAAAUUAGUAUGCUUUGAAUACAUUGCCUCUUCUGUGGCACAGUUUUUUGAUUGUGAGACCUGAAACCUUUUGAAAGCAGCACAAGGGCAGCGCAUGUGCUGGAUCAGAAUGGAACUUUGUGUGUGAAGCUUUAAGAGUCCCUUUCUCAAACUGCUCCUCUAAUUAUUCUGGAAUAACUUGAAGAAGCAAAGUGACAACAGAGAAGCAGAAGGAAAUUCACUGACAAUGUCAGGAGGGCAACUUUCAUUUCUCCUUUAAUAUUCCACCCUGACUCUGGUAACUUACCAGCUUUUCACAAAGCUUCACAUAUUGCAUGCAUAAGACCAUGAGUAUCAAAUACUGUUAGUGUUGUGAAAAAGGUCAUCUUCAUGUCCACAGCAUUAUCUUCUGGAAAGAAAGCUGCAGGAACCAAGAGUUCUGUAUCUGUUGACACUGACUCAAAGACUCAGAGAAAUUUGAAGCAAAAGGCCAAGUAAAAAGCAUCUCUAAAAUCAUUCAGUUCAAGAGGAGAAUAAUUUUUAAGCAUUUCUCUUUUUCAGAAGAAGCUCUGGAGGUUAAUAAAACACAUAAAUUGAGUCAGUAACAAGAUUGCUCAACUAACCCUGAAGAUUUCCAAAAGACACAAGAUGAAAAUCAUCCAAGUUUACUCUGCAACCACAUAUCACCCGUAUGAUGAAAUCAGCGGCCUGUAAGAAAAGUUAAAUCAACUUCUGGAUGAAGGAAAAACAUGGUUCAACAAGAUUAUAGAAGACUUUUAUACUUAAAUUGGUAUAAAGACAAUGUUGAGAGAAGGGAAUGUAGGUAAUAGAUGGAGAUGAUGCAUUAACUAGCCUUUCACCCCUGCGAUGUUAGUUCAAAUUCUGUAAAUUAAAUACAUUUUCUACUGCCA
Molecule: long non-coding RNA, 1425 nt
Organism: Alligator mississippiensis (American alligator)
Lineage: Eukaryota; Metazoa; Chordata; Crocodylia; Alligatoridae
Exons: 2
Source: RefSeq, a predicted model, not a curated record